This is a long non-coding RNA of Anopheles funestus (African malaria mosquito), 1517 nucleotides long. RefSeq lists it as uncharacterized. The transcript has 2 exons. NCBI's taxonomy places the organism in Eukaryota, Metazoa, Arthropoda, Insecta, Diptera, Culicidae. The record is from RefSeq and is a predicted model, not a curated record.
GUUGAAAUUCCUUUGUGGUGAAAAUACAAUUUCUAAUGUGUUCUGGUACUUCAUAAAGGUGUCUCUUCGUUGAUAGGAUAUUUAUUAUACUACUCAGAGGCAAAUCAUUCACUACGCAAACUAAGCGGGCACUAUGCAUUCAAUAUGCAUCUCUUACAACAAUUUAAUACUUUACUUAUUUUCUUGCGUCGGUUGUGGGGCCCAGAGAAUUCUCAGUUAAGGCUUCCAAAAAUACCUCCCUCCAAAAAUUCUAAAAAAUUGAAAAUUUCCCAAGGCUAUCUUCUUACCUUUUUUUUGAGUAAUUUAGCAAAAUUUUAUAAAUUAUUUUUUUUAUGCCAAUUAGUUGAAAUACGUUUCUUUUCACUCGAAUAAUGCUUUAAAUAAAGAAUAGAAUAAAAAAUCAGAAAAAAAUUUUCAACUCGAAAAUUUCAUAAGGCUUACCCCUUACGUUUUUUUUUGAGAAAUUUUGCAAAAAAAAUGAAAUUGAUUUAUUUUAAUGCCAAUCGGUUGCAAUGUGUUUCUUUUCACUCAAGUAAUGCUUUAAAUAAAAAAAAGAGUGAAAAAUAAUCAAAAAAUUCAAAAAAAUGACAAUUUACUAAGGCUCAUUUUUGCACCAAGUUUUGCCUAUAACUCGGUAGGUGUCCAACGGAUCGCCAAUCAUUAACUUGUGGUCGAUAGAUGGCAUCAAUGGCUACAUUUUCUUCUUGGACGGCCAUGCCCUCAGAUGUCUGUGCCAGAAGUUGUUCGAGGAACCAAGUUCCUUACCCUGUUUGAGAAAAUGUAAAAUUUUCCUCAUUUUUGCACCAAGUUUUGCCUAUAACUCGGUCGGUAUCCAACGGAUCGCCAAUCAUUAACUUGUGGUCGAUAGAUGGCAUCAAUGGCUACAUUUUCUUCUUGGACGGCCAUGCCCUCAGAUGUCUGUGCCAGAAGUUAUUUGAGGAACCAAGUUCCUUACCCUGUUUGAGAAACUGUAAAAUUUUCCUCAUUUUUGAGCAAUUCAGCAAAAUUUUUAAAUGUGAUAUAUUUUAUUGCGAAUUUGUUGCAAUAAGUUUGUUUUCACUCAAAUAAUGCUUUAAAUUAAAAAAAGAAUAAAAAAUCUGAAAAAAAUUUCAAAAAAAUUUUCCACUCGAAAAUUUCAUAAGGCUUACCCCUUACGUUUUUUUUGAGAAAUUUUGCAAAAAAAAUGAAAUUGAUUUAUUUUAAUGCCAAUCGGUUGCAAUGUGUUUCUUUUCACUCAAGUAAUGCUUUAAAUAAAAAAAAGAGUGAAAAAUAAUCAAAAAAUUAAAAAAAAUGACAAUUUACUAAGGCUCAUUUUUGCACCAAGUUUUGCCUAUAACUCGGUCGAUAUCCAACGGAUCGCCAAUCAUUAACUUGUGGUCGAUAGAUGGCAUCAAUGGCUACAUUUUCUUCUUGGACGGCCAUGCCCUCAGAUGUCUGUGCCAGAAGUUAUUUGAGGAACCAAGUUCCUUACCCUGUUUGAGAAAAUGUAAAAUUUUCCUCAUUUUUGAGCAAUUCAG